GUAAGGUGCAAGCGUUAAUCGGAAUUACUGGGCGUAAAGCGUGCGCAGGCGGUUAUGCAAGACAGAGGUGAAAUCCCCGGGCUCAACCUGGGAACUGCCUUUGUGACUGCAUGGCUAGAGUACGGUAGAGGGGGAUGGAAUUCCGCGUGUAUCAGUGAAAUGCGUAGAUAUGCGGAGGAACACCGAUGGCGAAGGCAAUCCCAUGGACCUGUACUGACGCUCAUGCACGAAAGCGUGGGGAGCAAACAGGAUUAGAUACCCUGUAGUCCACGCCCUAAACGAUGUCAACUGGUUGUUGGGAGGGUUUCUUCUCAGUAACGUAGCUAACGCGUGAAGUUGACCGCCUGGGGAGUACGGCCGCAAGGUUG
RNAcentral lists this ribosomal RNA (368 nucleotides) under uncultured bacterium. Its description in RNAcentral is "bacterial SSU rRNA". It matches the Rfam family "Bacterial small subunit ribosomal RNA", at positions 527 to 896 of the family's 1533-position model. The record is from RNAcentral.